Molecule: ribosomal RNA, 585 nt
Filed under: Triticum aestivum (bread wheat)
Lineage: Eukaryota; Viridiplantae; Streptophyta; Magnoliopsida; Poales; Poaceae
Description: partial small subunit ribosomal RNA
Source: RNAcentral
AUGAAUCAUAUUCUCAUACGGAAUUGCAGAAGUGUCGGAUGCUUGUCUGUUGGUAGUUUCACAUCUGUUAAAUGUUUGUCGCUGGAGUGCUUGCCAGACUUAUGUGUGCUCGAAGGAUUGUCUUCCCUGCAACUUGACCAUUUAAGUUUGAUUGAUGUUCCAAAGCUCACCCCCGAGUGUAUCUCACAGUUUCGAGUCCAGGACUCACUUCAUGUUAGCAGUCCUGUAAUACUCAACGACAUGCUCUUGGCUGAAGCUCCCACAGUUCCAGCACAUCUCACUCUUGAAGGAAGCAAGGAACCAUUCAUUUCAUUCAAAGAACCCGCAAAUUUCUCAUCCGUGAGGACACUGACGUUCCAGGAUUGUCAAAUGAUUUCCCUGCCAACAAAUCUGAAGUGCUUCUCCAAUCUGAAGAGUCUCGACAUCUGGGACUGCCCCAACAUAUCAUCUUUACCAGACCUGCCAUCCUCCCUCCAGCGGAUACGUGUAUCGGGUUGUUCUGAGCUAUUGGUGGAGAGCUGUCGAGCACCUGAUGGAGAAAGUUGGCCAAAGAUCGCGCAUAUCCGCCGGAAGGAAUUUGAAUAA